GACGAACCGUCCUAACGUUGUUCGGAAUCACUGGGCUUAAAGGGCGCGUAGGCGGGCUGCCAAGUCUGUGGUGAAAUCCUCCGGCUUAACCGGAGAACUGCCGUGGAUACUGGCGGUCUCGAGGGAGGUAGGGGUCUGUGGAACUUCCGGUGGAGCGGUGAAAUGCGUUGAUAUCGGAAGGAACGCCGGUGGCGAAAGCGACGGACUGGACCUCUUCUGACGCUGAGGAGCGAAAGCUAGGUGAGCAAACGGG
RNAcentral lists this ribosomal RNA (253 nucleotides) under uncultured bacterium. RNAcentral's name for it is "partial 16S ribosomal RNA". It matches the Rfam family "Bacterial small subunit ribosomal RNA", at positions 524 to 776 of the family's 1533-position model. The record is from RNAcentral.